Glossina palpalis gambiensis is the source of this 95-nucleotide non-coding RNA. The record is from Rfam. NCBI's taxonomy places the organism in Eukaryota, Metazoa, Arthropoda, Insecta, Diptera, Glossinidae.
GGGGGUAGUAUUUAGUACGUAUGCGCCAGGGAUGGUAUGCAUCGUGCAUGCUGCUAUUAAGACCCAGCAGUAACUUUCGAAGAUUUUCUACCUCC